UGGGGAAUAUUGCACAAUGGGCGCAAGCCUGAUGCAGCCAUGCCGCGUGUGUGAAGAAGGCCUUCGGGUUGUAAAGCACUUUCAGCGGGGAGGAAGGCGUUAAGGUUAAUAACCUUGGCGAUUGACGUUACCCGCAGAAGAAGCACCGGCUAACUCCGUGCCAGCAGCCGCGGUAAUACGGAGGGUGCAAGCGUUAACCGGAAUUACUGGGCGUAAAGCGCACGCAGGCGGUCUGUCAAGUCGGAUGUGAAAUCCCCGGGCUCAACCUGGGAACUGCAUUCGAAACUGGCAGGCUAGAGUCUUGUAGAGGGGGGUAGAAUUCCAGGUGUAGCGGUGAAAUGCGUAGAGAUCUGGAGGAAUACCGGUGGCGAAGGCGGCCACCUGGACAAAGACUGACGCUCAGGUGCGAAAGCGUGGGGAGCAAACAGG
RNAcentral lists this ribosomal RNA (429 nucleotides) under Chloroflexota bacterium. RNAcentral describes it as "Chloroflexi bacterium partial 16S ribosomal RNA". It matches the Rfam family "Bacterial small subunit ribosomal RNA", at positions 355 to 776 of the family's 1533-position model. The record is from RNAcentral. Lineage: Bacteria; Bacillati; Chloroflexota.